This 200-nucleotide unclassified non-coding RNA is filed under the name soil metagenome. Its description in RNAcentral is "partial contains internal transcribed spacer 2 and large subunit ribosomal RNA". The record is from RNAcentral.
UUGCUGCCCUCAAGCACGGCUUGUGUGUUGGGCCCCGUCCUCCGAUCCCGGGGGACGCCCGAAAGGCAGCGGCGGCACCGAGUCCGGUCCUCGAGCGUAUGGGGCUUUGUCACCCGCUCUGUAGGCCCGGCCGGCGCUUGCCGAUCAACCAAUUUUUCCAGGUUGACCUCGGAUCAGGUAGGGAUACCCGCUGAACUUAA